GAACCACAACCUCAUGGUUCCUAUUGGAUUUGUUUCCGCUGUGCCACAAUGGGAACUCCUUCAUUUCUUUCUUCAGAGGGUCUGUUCAAGUGCCUGGCUGCACAAAAAGAAAUCAGCCACCCUUUAAAGAUGUUGCUCCACAAAAUCGAAUUCAAAAAUUUUUUAACUCUUUAAAUGCUUCAUCUACACAGUUGGUGGUGCGGAGCAAUAAUGAACUUCACCCAUGAUUCUUCUGAUGGGGUGGACUGUGCUGUGCUUUUUUUCCUGUGACCAGAGAGAGAGGAUUCUUCUGAACCAGUCAGACAUAGGAAGCCGAAAACAGAAGACCUAAUGAAAGUGAUAUUUGAGAGAGAGAAGAAAAAAAUAUGUUGGAGGAUGAGAUUGUAAGAAAAGUAUUUCAGGAAAGCUCACACCUUAUCAGGGCGAUGAAAACUCUGAGCACUUAAAGUACUUGUAGAUGUUUACCUAGUCUUUAGUUAAAUAUUGCUGUGCUUUAUUUUAAGAAAUGAUGCUACUUUCGGUUUUACAAAUGGUUUUCUUAAAUGGAUCCGAGCUUGUUUAUUCCUGUCACUGAAGUGUUUUUCUCUAAAUAAAUCAACUUGCCUCAGCACCUUUUAAGUACAGAUACCUCUGGUAUAUUGGCUAAGUUUUGUUUUGGUUUAUAAAACUUGACUAGAUGCCACUUUGAGGGAACAAAGUCAAUCCAUUAAAUAAAGUCUCUCUGUAAAACGUUCUGCUUUGCCAUAUUGCCGACCAGCACAGGUAAGUCAGUGGCUAAUAUAUAGAAGUAGAGGUUUUCCUUUCACCUGCAGAGUCUAUACAGCCUGUCACCUCUUUUCCCCUUGCAGUGGGGUUGACUAGUCAUGAUUGCCAGCUGAAGAAUAUUUCCGAUUGAUUUCAGAAGAAUGUUGGAACUUUACCGUUAGAAUCAAGGAAAAGACAGGUUAUGUUAUAAUGUGGCUGAGAUACGUUUCUAAGGCUUCAAAGGUUGGAUUAUUUAUAUGAGCCUAAUGAGGCUUUAACAUUUUUUUAAAAUGAUUUUUACUUUUUCCAUUAUAGCUGGUUUACAGUGUUCUGUUAAUUUUCUACUGUACAGCAAGGUGACCCAGUCACACAUGCCUGUAUACAUUCUUUUUCUCACAUUCUCCUCCAUCCUGCUCCCUGGGCCCUGGUAAGUCCCAAUGAGAUGUUAAUAUUUGAGUCUCUUUGGCACAACUUUCUUGGCUUCAGGGACCACUGUGCAAACUAAAACAAAAGCUUCAAGAAGCCAAGAAAUUGAGUCUGAGCAUCACAGUUUAUGUGCCCAAGUGAAAAUAACUUCACCUUUUGAUGUUUCUCUCUAUAGUACAUCCAGUGGCAGAAUUUUCCAUAGCAUCGUUCUUCUGUAGACUUAGAAAAAUGCAAGCUAUUUUAAAAGCUUAACAGUCCAAACUGUCCCUUAGUUUGGAUUCAGAGUUUUUAGGCCUAAAGAUUUGCUUUGAUACUGGAAGUAUAUUUUCCCUAAAACAGCCCUGUUUUUUUAAAUAAUAAAGAUCACGACAGUAUAACCAUUUCUAAGGAUGCUCUUGAGUUGCAAACCAGAUAUUACUGGAUUUUUUUUUUAGCUCUGGGAACAAGAGGUGAAGAACUCCUUUCCCCCCAUGUGGGUGGGUAAUUUCAAAAUAAAAAGUGAGGGUAAAAGGAACAGUUAAUAACAUAAUCCAUACGUUUCUUCGUGAGGAGGAAAUAAAAAGAUCAAGGAGAAACGACUAGAUCUUAGUUAUGACCAGCCUUUAUUAUGGGAAGAGAUUAAUUCGAGUGGACUAACUAUAUCUAAAAUUAGAACUGUGGGAAAAGGAUUAUACGCAACAAAAUGCAAAAGAUUAAUGUGGAAGCAUGAGGCCUAAGGAUCGGAUAGCCUUAAAAUACUAAUCUACGGUAAACUUGCUCACACGGUUCCAUGCUGUCAGUGAGGAAACAGAGAAACAAGAAUGGUGUCAGUUGAGCCAAAGGUUUUGUUAAUUAGUCUUUGGUUAAUAACUCGUUUUAGAAGACAUCAUCUGGCUUGAUGUGCAGCUUUUUGGACAAGGUAUCGGAAGUAACCUGUAAUUUCCGACGGCUCCUUGCUCAUUAGGACAGGCACUUAGCUUCACAUGGUGGGUGUUACACUUCGGUUAGCUUUUAACCUUAGGAGACAGACUUGAUUGUGAUCGGGAGCCUUUUUCUCAAGCCCACAGUAAUUAUUAAUUUGCUUCCCUGGAACAGCUAACAGUAGUGGACGCCAUGGCGAGAUUUCGAGAUGUUUGACCACAGAAGAAGACUUGUCUUGAGAUGCCUAAACACUGCAUGUCCCAGAGUCCCUUUAGGGGGAAACUGUUGAGAAAGUCUGUAAUGGCUGUGCCCUAAGUGAGCACCAGUCGUACCCAUGUGUGCAGUGGGAGGUGGGAGGAAGGGAGGCUGAGAAGCCUGUAUCCGGAAAGGUAUCGAAUCUGUUGAGUCCAGUUGAGCUCUAUGGACUGUAAGACUUUAAUGGCUGAAUCUACGUUCUUUUCAUGUCAUCUGCAAUGAGGAGACAAGUGUUUCUAAUUCCAUCUCAGGCAUAUUUAAAAAUUGUUAAAAAUUAUUCGUUGUAGUAACACCUUUUCACAUGGUCUCUUGAAUGGGUUAUGUAGUGGAAAAAGUAAGUAGGUGUUCCUAUCACAUGAGGUGGGAACCGAGGACCAGACCUGAAGGCUGACCUUCUUGGGGUGAUUUUUGAAAGCGCCCUUAUACCACCCAGAACUUGUGCCUUGAAUUCUGUGGGAAAUGCCGUCAUAGAGAUUUUGACCUUGGAAUGUCUGUGGAAGCUGCCUUUGGCAGAAGCGGCUGCUGGCUACCAUUCCUCUAAUGAACAAGCCUACAUUCAUUUCCAAAUCCCUUUUACAAAAUAAUUUGGUUGGUUUGAGUGAUUGCAUUUGGAAUGUCGGGCCCUGUGCCCUUUCCCUGUGCCAUUAGAGGCCUUGCAGGAGGGAGAGAAUCUAGUCAACCCGGAUCAUUUGAUCAUUUGAGCCGUCGGAAAUUACGUUUGGGCGUGUUAUUUUUGCAGUUGGAGAGACGGUUCUGCUCUUUUUCCCUGCUACAGCUUGUUCAAUUCCAUUGGGCUGGGAUAUAAAAAUUGACCAGAGGAAUGAAUCGGGGCUGUCCAAAAUAUGUUUAGUGUUAUAGUCUUCUAUCUUGUUAGGAAUUCAUUUUUUUUUCCCCCACACUGGAAUAUGGAAGCCCUACAAAGAUAAUCAAGGUUAAGGUCAUGAUUCUACUACCAGAGCCUUAUAUGAAUAUAUAUAUUAUAUAAAAUUAUUAUUAUUAGCAAAUACUUAUAUGGUACUUACUAAGAACCAGACACACUGUACUAAGCAUUUAUUUAUUUAUUUAUUUAUUUAUUGUCUUUUUGCCGUUUCUAGGGCCACUUCUGUGGCAUAUGGAGGUUCCCAGGCUAGGGGUCUAAUCGGAGCUGUAGCCGCCGGCCUACGCCACAGCCACAGCAACACGGGAUCAGAGCUGCGUCUGUAACCUACACCACAGCUCUCAUCAAAGCCGAAUCCUUAACCCCCUGAGCAAGGCCAGGGAUCGAACCCACAACCUCAUGGUUCCCAGUCGGAUUCGUUAACCACUGAGCCAUGAUGGGAACUCCUGAAAUUCUUACUUGAGAGAGAAGGACAAGUGUUUUAAGCAAAUCUGAGGGAGUGUUUGGAUCAGUAAAAUUAGGAGCCCCAGACAUUUACUUUUGGAUUGUAGCGAAAAAGAUAAGAUAAUGGCCUUCCCUAUAAUUAGGAUUUUAUUUCUAUUAAAACUCUAAAAACCACCACAAAUUAUACUGAAGAUGCAAGAGGAGACAAGGUCCUACUGUAUGUAGCACAGGGUACUAUAUUCAGUGUCUUGUAAUAAACCAUAAUGGAAAAGAAUAUGAAAAAAUUAUAACUGAAUCACUUUGCCUUAUACCAGCAUUGUAAAUUAACCAUACUUCAUUUUUUCUUUUUUUUUUUUUUGAAAAAGGAGGGAAUUCCUGACGUGGUGCAACAGGUUAAGUAUCUGGCAUUGUCUCUGGAUGGUGUGGGUUGGAUUCCCAGCCUGCUGCAGUGGGUUACAGAUCCGACGUGGCCGCAGCUGUGGUAGGUUGCAGCUGAGGCUGGGAUUUGACCCCUCGUUGGGGAACUCCAUAUGUUGGAGGUGCGGCAAAAAAAAAAAAAAAAAAAAAAAAAAAGGAAAAGGAAAAAGAGGAAACAGACCUUCAUUUUGAGAACAAAAAAUAGGACUUUUUUAUUCUGCUGAGAAAGAGGAAAGACGAAGUCCGGCACCAGGCUGUGCUGGAAGGAGAGAUUCCAGAAUGAGGGGCGGUGCCUAGGUUAUUAGCGCUCUGAGCGCGGAUCCUGCAGAGGUGGUCUCAGGAGCUGGGCUCUGUAUCUGCGGGUGAAGUACCCCAUGCUUUUUAAAAGUCUCAUCUGCCGGGGGAGAUGUAAAUGCAAAGUGCUAAUCCUUUGUCAUCAAUAACAGUCCCAUGACACUGCUUUCCAAGACAAGUGUUACUGAUUCAAUUUGGUUGGCUGUGUUUAGCU
Molecule: long non-coding RNA, 4571 nt
Filed under: Sus scrofa (pig)
Lineage: Eukaryota; Metazoa; Chordata; Mammalia; Artiodactyla; Suidae
Description: lncRNA (ENSSSCG00050028224.1)
Source: RNAcentral